AAAGUUGAAAAGCACUUUGAAAAGAGAGUGCAAGAGAACGUGAAACCGUUAUAGUGGAAGCGGAUAGAGUCGACGUAUCCAGUGCGUAUUCAGCCAAAUUUUGGGGCAAUUUUUUGGUUUUAAGUUCUGCAAAGUCUUUGAUCAAUUGAUUUGUCUCAAAAAUUGGUGCAUUUGCGUACAGAGUGCGCCGAAUCGGUUGAAGUCGCCAUUUGAAGACUGCAAAGCAGACUACUUUUUGUAGAAACUUUUGCAUUUGGAUGGUGGAUGAUUUUGAUCGUAAAAUGAAGUUGGUAUUUCGUGAAAGUGUUGGUCGAUUGAGGAGGCUUUUGUACGAUGCAUGCGUUUUGCAAUUUUGUUCUUAGUCGAUCGAUGCUUUUACUCUACUUCACAUUCGGUGUUUAGUCGAUCACCUAUUUGACCCGUCUUGAAACACGGACCAAGGAGUUUAAGGUGUACGCAAGUCAUUGGCUGUUAAAAGUCAAAGGCGUAAUGAAAGUGGGACACUUGGUGUCUGUGGUGUGAGCUUAGUUUGUUUCGACGAGCUUAGCGCAACAUCGACCCAUGACUAGGACUUGUUCUGUUGUGGAGUCUGAGCGUACGCUUUGAGACCCGAAAGAUGGUGAACUAUGCCUGAACAGGACGAAGUCAGAGGAAACUCUGAUGGAAGUCCGAAGCGGUUCUGACGUGCAAAUCGAUCGUCUGAUU
RNAcentral lists this ribosomal RNA (705 nucleotides) under Aphelenchoides sp. CD3742. RNAcentral describes it as "partial large subunit ribosomal RNA". It matches the Rfam family "Eukaryotic large subunit ribosomal RNA", at positions 360 to 911 of the family's 3401-position model. Lineage: Eukaryota; Metazoa; Nematoda; Chromadorea; Rhabditida; Aphelenchoididae. The record is from RNAcentral.